Molecule: small RNA, 80 nt
Filed under: human gut metagenome
Description: Actinobacteria sRNA Ms_AS-4
Source: RNAcentral
UCGCGUCGAGAUACCGGCUGGGGUCGUCACCAAACUCGCCAAGGACCCGGGCGGCAAGGAUCACACCGAGGCCGGGCAGG